Molecule: ribosomal RNA, 410 nt
Filed under: uncultured Lactobacillus sp.
Lineage: Bacteria; Bacillati; Bacillota; Bacilli; Lactobacillales; Lactobacillaceae
Description: bacterial SSU rRNA
Rfam family: Bacterial small subunit ribosomal RNA
Source: RNAcentral
GGGGAUACCACUUGGGAAACAGGUGCUAAAUACCGGAUAGAAAGCAGAUCGCAUGAUCAGCUUUUAAAAGGCGGCGUAAAGCUGUCGCUAUGGGGAUGGGCCCCGCGGUGCAUUAGCUAGUUGGUAAGGUAAAGGCUUACCAAGGGCGGAUGAUGCAUAGCCCGAGUUGAGAGACUGAUCGGCCACAUUGGGGACUGAGACACGGCCCAAACUCCUACGGGAGGCAGCAGUAGGGAAUCUUCCACAAUGGACGCAAGUCUGAUGGAGCAGCGCCGCGUGAGUGAAGAAGGUUUUCGGAUCGUAAAGCUCUGUUGUUGGUGAAGAAGGAUAGAGGUAGUAACUGGCCCUUUAUUUGACGGUAAUCAACCAGAAAGUCACGGGCUAACUACGUGCCAGCAGCCGCGGUAAAU